RNAcentral lists this ribosomal RNA (431 nucleotides) under uncultured bacterium. RNAcentral's name for it is "partial 16S ribosomal RNA". It matches the Rfam family "Bacterial small subunit ribosomal RNA", at positions 29 to 507 of the family's 1533-position model. The record is from RNAcentral.
AACGAACGCUGGCGGCAGGCUUAACACAUGCAAGUCGAACGCCCCGCAAGGGGAGUGGCAGACGGGUGAGUAACGCGUGGGAACAUACCCUUUUCUACGGAAUAGCUCUGGGAAACUGGAAUUAAUACCGUAUACGCCCUACGGGGGAAAGAUUUAUCGGGGAAGGAUUGGCCCGCGUUGGAUUAGCUAGUUGGUGGGGUAAAGGCCUACCAAGGCGACGAUCCAUAGCUGGUCUGAGAGGAUGAACAGCCACAUUGGGACUGAGACACGGCCCAAACUCCUACGGGAGGCAGCAGUGGGGAAUAUUGGACAAUGGGCGCAAGCCUGAUCCAGCCAUGCCGCGUGAGUGAUGAAGGCCUUAGGGUUGUAAAGCUCUUUCACCGAUGAAGAUAAUGACGGUAGUCGGAGAAGAAGCCCCGGCUAACUUCGUG